UAAUAGCUCACUGGUCGAGUCGGCCUGCGCGGAAGAUGUAACGGGGCUAAACCAUGCACCGAAGCUGCGGCAGCGACGCUUAUGCGUUGUUGGGUAGGGGAGCGUUCUGUAAGCCUGUGAAGGUGUACUGUGAGGUAUGCUGGAGGUAUCAGAAGUGCGAAUGCUGACAUAAGUAACGAUAAAGCGGGUGAAAAGCCCGCUCGCCGGAAGACCAAGGGUUCCUGUCCAACGUUAAUCGGGGCAGGGUGAGUCGACCCCUAAGGCGAGGCCGAAAGGCGUAGUCGAUGGGAAACAGGUUAAUAUUCCUGUACUUGGUGUUACUGCGAAGGGGGGACGGAGAAGGCUAUGUUGGCCGGGCGACGGUUGUCCCGGUUUAAGCGUGUAGGCUGGUUUUCCAGGCAAAUCCGGAAAAUCAAGGCUGAGGCGUGAUGACGAGGCACUACGGUGCUGAAGCAACAAAUGCCCUGCUUCCAGGAAAAGCCUCUAAGCAUCAGGUAACAUCAAAUCGUACCCCAAACCGACACAGGUGGUCAGGUAGAGAAUACCAAGGCGCUUGAGAGAACUCGGGUGAAGGAACUAGGCAAAAUGGUGCCGUAACUUCGGGAGAAGGCACGCUGAUAUGUAGGUGAAG
RNAcentral lists this ribosomal RNA (631 nucleotides) under Escherichia coli. RNAcentral describes it as "partial 23S ribosomal RNA". It matches the Rfam family "Bacterial large subunit ribosomal RNA", at positions 1135 to 1767 of the family's 2925-position model. Lineage: Bacteria; Pseudomonadati; Pseudomonadota; Gammaproteobacteria; Enterobacterales; Enterobacteriaceae. The record is from RNAcentral.